RNAcentral lists this ribosomal RNA (253 nucleotides) under uncultured bacterium. Its description in RNAcentral is "partial 16S ribosomal RNA". It matches the Rfam family "Bacterial small subunit ribosomal RNA", at positions 524 to 776 of the family's 1533-position model. The record is from RNAcentral.
UACGUAGGGUGCGAGCGUUAAUCGGAAUUACUGGGCGUAAAGCGUGCGUAGGCGGUUCCUCAAGUCCGUUGUGAAAGCCCCGGGCUCAACCUGGGAAUGGCAGUGGAAACUAGGGGACUGGAAUCUGGCAGAGGGGGGUGGAAUGCCGCGUGUAGCAGUGAAAUGCGUAGAGAUGCGGCGGAACACCGAUGGCGAAGGCAGCCCCCUGGGCUGAGAUUGACGCUCAUGCACGAAAGCGUGGGGAGCAAACAGG